AAGAAAGUGAGUUAAAAACAGACACAAUCUUCUGAGCAAAGCCAAAGGAUUCUGCUGGUCACACAACAGUCCUCCACACAGCUGGAGGAUUUGACUGGCCUAUGUCAACCCAAGGUUAAACCUGAGAGAAUGAUGCCAUAAAAUCAUCAAGACUCUUUCUCUCUCUCUCUCUCUCUCUCUCUCUCUUACAAAACACACACACACACACACACACACACACACACACCAUGAACAGACUUUUCAUCUUCAUUCACCAAUGUCACCCAAAGAUGCUAAAUAUAUCUGACCACUCCUCAUCACACAGGCAUUUCAAGUAUUUGCUUGAAACAGUACACAUUACCUACCCAAAACACUCUUCCCAUGCAUUUCACAUAGACCGGAUUAGAAACCAUCUGCACACACACAGACAAACCGAAAAUAACAUCUUUCUAUGUGACUCUUGCUAGCAAAGAAGAAGAAUAGAUGAUUCCAGCGAGAAGGCUAACGUGCUAAUUACAGGAGUAUAUUUGGUAGUGAAACCACCCAGUCUUCUGUGGCGGAGGCCGUCCAGCGGACACGAUUUCCCACACGGUCUGGAGAGCCCUGUGGUGUGUGGUUAGAGAGAAGAGGACAGCGGAGAUGGACUCUCUCUAGAGUACGGGUGUGUCUCUGAAUCUCUUUCUAUGGACCUGUCUUUGAGUGUGUGUGUGUGCAAAUCGAUAUGUAUUACUAUGUUCCCGUAUAAUAACAGAUGUAUGUACUUGUAUGUGUGCCAGAGAGAUAGUCGCACAGCAUGCUGGAGAGUGUAGAGGGUGUAAUUACAUGGUAAUGCACCUUAGUGCAUGUUUGUGGACAUUUGUUUGUUUGUCUGUGUGUGUGUGUGUGUGUGUGUGUGUACACAUAAACUCAUACUUUGUGA
Long non-coding RNA from Alosa alosa (allis shad), 898 nucleotides. RefSeq lists it as uncharacterized. The transcript is spliced from 2 exons. NCBI's taxonomy places the organism in Eukaryota, Metazoa, Chordata, Actinopteri, Clupeiformes, Clupeidae. The record is from RefSeq and is a predicted model, not a curated record.